This 487-nucleotide ribosomal RNA is filed under the name Polypedates pseudocruciger (false hour-glass tree frog). RNAcentral describes it as "partial 12S ribosomal RNA". It matches the Rfam family "Bacterial small subunit ribosomal RNA", at positions 845 to 1533 of the family's 1533-position model. The record is from RNAcentral. Lineage: Eukaryota; Metazoa; Chordata; Amphibia; Anura; Rhacophoridae.
AACGUAAACUUAAUUACACUCAAAACGCCAGGGUACUACGAGCUUAAGCUUAAAACCCAAAGGACUUGACGGUGUUCCAUCCGACUAGAGGAGCCUGUUUUAUAAUCGAUAACUCACGAUUUACCUAACCAUUUUUUGCUACUCAGCCUGUAUACCUCCGUCGUAAGUCCACCCUGUGAAUGAGGAGAAGUAGGCAAAAUGACUUAUAGCCAACACGUCAGGUCAAGGUGCAGCUUAUAAAAUGGAAAAAAUGUGCUACAAUUUCUAAUUUAGAACACACGAAUUACUGCAUGAAAAAAGGUCAUGAAGGUGGAUUUAGCAGUAAGUGAGGAAUAGAGAGCCCCACUUAAUUAAUGGUCACGGAACACGUACAAACCGCCCGUCACUCUCUUCGAUAGCUCAUAAACAGAUAAAUAACCUAUUUGCCGCGCCUUAGAAGAGAUAAGUCGUAACAUGGUAAGUAUACUGGAAAGUGUACUUGGACUAA